Molecule: ribosomal RNA, 594 nt
Filed under: Prevotella melaninogenica
Lineage: Bacteria; Pseudomonadati; Bacteroidota; Bacteroidia; Bacteroidales; Prevotellaceae
Description: bacterial SSU rRNA
Rfam family: Bacterial small subunit ribosomal RNA
Source: RNAcentral
UGACGGCAUCAGAUUUGANNUAAAGAUUUANNNGUAAUGGAUGGGGAUGCGNNNGAUUAGCUUGUNGNCGGGGUAACGGCCCACCAAGGCUACGAUCAGUAGGGGUUNUGAGAGGAAGGUCCCCCACAUUGGAACUGAGAUACGGUCCAAACUCAUACGGGAGGCAGCAGUGAGGAAUAUUGGUCAAUGGACGGAAGUCUGAACCAGCCAAGUAGCGUGCAGGAUGACGGCCCUAUGGGUUGUAAACUGCUUUUGUAUGGGGAUAAAGUUAGGGACGUGUCCCUAUUUGCAGGUACCAUACGAAUAAGGACCGGCUAAUUCCGUGCCAGCAGCCGCGGUAAUACGGAAGGUCCAGGCGUUAUCCGGAUUUAUUGGGUUUAAAGGGAGCGUAGGCUGGAGAUUAAGUGUGUUGUGAAAUGUAGACGCUCAACGUCUGAAUUGCAGCGCAUACUGGUUUCCUUGAGUACGCACAACGUUGGCGGAAUUCGUCGUGUAGCGGUGAAAUGCUUAGAUAUGACGAAGAACUCCGAUUGCGAAGGCAGCUGACGGGAGCGCAACUGACGCUUAAGCUCGAAGGUGCGGGCAUCAAACAGG